RNAcentral lists this long non-coding RNA (1674 nucleotides) under Gadus morhua (Atlantic cod). RNAcentral's name for it is "lncRNA (ENSGMOG00000027644.1)". Lineage: Eukaryota; Metazoa; Chordata; Actinopteri; Gadiformes; Gadidae. The record is from RNAcentral.
UUGGGGCAGAAUGAGCAGUUAUUAUAUUUGCAUUGCGGCAUUAUGAUUGUAUUAUUUAGACAGCAAGACGGCCAUCUUGGUUAGUGAGGGUAUUUAAGCGUCAUCUUGUACUGGAUCUUGUUCUCUGCGAGCCUGCAUCACCGAUCUGGUUGUGAUGUCAUACCACAUGAGGGAGUCCUUAUACGGUCCUGCCUUCAGAGUGGUUUAACCAACACAGGGAGCGGUCGGUAUGAUAUCCGCACGGUGAACUUGAUCCUAUCAGACACUUUUGAAGCCCUUUGAGACCUUGUGUGUGGAAUGAUGAAUAGUUAUUAAAGAGUGUAUCAGACACUUCUGGGCAGCAUCUACACAUCUUUCCCCUCCUUGAGAAUGAGAGGGUCUAUGAAUCUGCGUCUAGGAAAGACCACGCUGCCUCUCAUCCAAAGAGACAACAGCCCCCUGGGACCGGAAAUACACAGCUCCUAUAAAAGCAGAGAAUAAACACUGAGUGGACGUAGAAACAAGGAGUUGUGUUUGUGUCCAGGUCUCCAGUCUACUAUGGAUGAGGAGAGAGAGGACGGGGGUCCUACCUCUAAGACCACUCUGUCUGGGGAACAUGGCUGCCGGAGCAGAGCUAAGAGCCCAGAGCAGCAGCAGAGAGCAGACUCCCCUGGACCCAGCUGUGUCUCCAUGAAGAGUGACCACUCUAUGGGUGUACCUGAUAACUUUAAAGAUGGACGGCCCUCCAGAGAGGAGAGGUAGGAGUUUCAAACAGACGAUAAAAGAGACAAGUUGGUUGUUAUCAGACCUUACUGAUACUGAUGUUUAGUCUGGAAAAAUGUGUGUGUGUGUGUGUGUGUGCGUGUGCGUGUGCGUGUGUGUGCGUGCGUGCGUGUGUGUGUGUGUGUGUGUUCUCCACAGACACCAGGAGAGGCCAAUGGUUACCAGUGCUCAGUCUGUACAGCAGCAUCAAACAGAGCUGGAGAUGAACCAGGAGGAACUGGCAGACACACUGUGGGGCGGUAAGAGACUCUUACUUUGAAGACACAGGAGACUAUUAUUUUGAAGGGCAGAAGAGACUCUUACUUUGAAGACAGGUGUUUCGGCAGCUUGUCCUACCUUCUUUCAAGACGCCGCGCGAGCCCAGGCGAGGGGGUAUUUCAGACACACAAUCCAGUUCAAUCAAACAUAAUCUAAUUACAACGAAAAUAGGAUCUCUUGUCCUUCUAACUAUAACAAAAAAUAUAUUUUCCAAGGUGUACGCGGGUUUCAGUGUAAAUGCAAACGAAAAGGUUAUAUUCCGGCAUGUAUCUUUGUACAUAAUUCACAUCGGCAAUUCUUAUUCGUGUUCGUAUUCUAGUUUGUAUUUGUGGUCAAAACAUUUCUCCCGACUGUGGCUGGUGUUUUCCUAAUGCGGUCCCCUAACUGGCCUCACAUCCUGUCUACCUACAUUGAGUUCCAGGAGGCAUCUCAAACCAACAUAAAAGUGCCAGCAGGGGGAGGUCAUUUUCAAUAAAGUAAAACUAAGAAUAAAUUGGCCCUAACAACAAGAGAAAUUGUAAUUUUAGAAAAACAAUAUGACACUCUUAUGUGUUAUUUUCAGACUAAUUGACUUUUAACUUCAAUGUGGAGAUAUUUUUCCUCUUGGGGGUUAAACGGUUUGAUCCAGAUACAGUAUGUAGGGUUAUUGUGGUG